UAAUAGAGACCCCGGUAGUCCACGCCCUAAACGAUGCGAACUGGAUGUUGGGUACAUUACGGUACUCAGUGUCGAAGCUAACGCGUUAAGUUCGCCGCCUGGGGAGUACGGUCGCAAGACUGAAACUCAAAGGAAUUGACGGGGGCCCGCACAAGCGGUGGAGUAUGUGGUUUAAUUCGAUGCAACGCGAAGAACCUUACCUGGCCUUGACAUCUGUCGAAUCCUGCAGAGAUGCGGGAGUGCCGCAAGGAACGACAAGACAGGUGCUGCAUGGCUGUCGUCAGCUCGUGUCGUGAGAUGUUGGGUUAAGUCCCGCAACGAGCGCAACCCUUGUCCUUAGUUGCCAGCACGUAAUGGUGGGAAUUCUAAGGAGACUGCCGGUGACAAACCGGAGGAAGGUGGGGAUGACGUCAAGUCCUCAUGGCCCUUACGGCCAGGGCUACACACGUACUACAAUGGUCGGUACAGAGGGUUGCGAAGCCGCGAGGUGGAGCCAAUCCCAGGAAGCCGAUCCCAGUCCGGAUUGGAGUCUGCAACUCG
Molecule: ribosomal RNA, 540 nt
Filed under: uncultured bacterium
Lineage: Bacteria
Description: bacterial SSU rRNA
Rfam family: Bacterial small subunit ribosomal RNA
Source: RNAcentral